RNA transcript from Juglans microcarpa x Juglans regia, 2609 nucleotides. It is a transcript of the gene named ubiquitin-like-specific protease ESD4, with no coding region annotated. The transcript has 10 exons. Lineage: Eukaryota; Viridiplantae; Streptophyta; Magnoliopsida; Fagales; Juglandaceae. The record is from RefSeq and is a predicted model, not a curated record.
UUAAACCCCUUCCCCAUGAUCCAACUGAACACUGAACGCAACAUUGUCAAAUUCUCGAUCAAUCGGAAAGUCCUUAAAAUUGAUCCGAACAUCAACGAGAACAUCACCGCCGCUGAAAUCUCCCAUCUCUUUACUCCGCUCGCUCUUUCUCUCUCUCUCCUACCCGGGAAAAUUUCGUGGGUUUGCAUUUUAAGCACACUGUCCUGGAUUUUGCUUCAAAUCCGCCGCUCCGAUGCACUGAAAGGAUUUCGAGUUUCUCAAAUUCACUGCUUUACUCCCUAUCUUACAACUUCGCUCCAAACAUUCUCUGCGGCUCAUCCCCAAAUCACAACUUUGAGUCCCAUUGAGUCGCAGCUAGGGUUUAACCAGCUCAAAGCGUCUGGCCCCCUCUAAACAAAACCCUAAUUUUCAAAUUCAACUGGGUGAUCCUCUUUGAGAAUGCUUUUAUUUAGAUGGGUUUUUGAUUUCUAGGAUUCAGAGUUCCCGGGCUGGUCAAUGGGUGCCCGAACGAGCAACCGUAAGCGCGAUGACGAGUACUUGAGCUUUAAUCACACCUAUGCAUCUCAGAAUUCUUCAGAUUUUCACAUCUCAAAGAGACCGAGAUUCUCAUCCAUUGACAAGACCCCGGCCCGACCCAUUGUAUCCUCGAAUAGCACCGUUGCGAGACUUUCGCGGUACCCCCAAGCAACCCCUCGGCUGGGUAGAGAAGUCCACGCCCCUUGCAGAAUACUUAAUUACGGGUUUUUCUGGACUUGUUUGAGUCGGAACUUAGGGCGGAGGACUAGCGGGGUUUAUAAAAAGAAGGAGACCGUUGAUGAAAUGGGCAAUAUUUUGAGUGUCAAGUACGAUAAGGCAAAGAAUAGUGCACUGCGAACGCUUCGGUACCUGACAAAGGAGAAGGAGGUGAUCGUAGUAAAUACGGAUAAUGAGAAGGGUGGAGUGUCCGAAGAUUCAAGUGUUGAGGAAGUUGAGGUCGUGGAAGAUGGCUUAGAAGGGCGGUCCGCGGCGUCGGAACACGGGGAGGUUUUUAAUGGGGCCGUGGCCAAUGUGCAGGAAUUGGAUGCCAAGGUUUUGGAUCAUGGGCUCUUGCCAUCAUCGUCUUCGGCGGCGUCACACUUGACGAAUGGGAAUUUAAGAGUGAACGAUGCCGAUAAAAUGUUGGAUUCUCUGAAGCUGAAUUCUGGGCGGGAUAUGAGCGUCUCUGCAUUUAAGAAGUUACUCGAGUUUACGGAAAGGCGUACUCCGAAAUUGAGAAACUUGAAUUUUGAGAUUGAGUUACAUGAGGAGCGUAGGUCUAUGCUUCAACAAUUGCGUCCGGCAAAGAAACCCGUCCAGGAUUUACCGCGAGAACCUUUCCUCCCUCUUACAGAGAAGGAAGAGGCUAUGUUUGAACGUGCAUUUAACUCCACUAGGCGGUUAGUCACUCAUGAGAACUCAAACAUUGAGAUCACGGGAGAAAUUCUGCAGUGCCUUAGACCAGGGGCAUGGUUGAAUGAUGAGGUCAUAAACGUGUACCUUGAGUUGCUGAAAGAGAGAGAAAACAGAGAGCCGCAAAAGUUUUUAAGGUGCCAUUUCUUCAACACAUUUUUCUACAAAAAGUUAAUAAGUGGGAGGAAUGGCUAUGAUUAUAAAUCUGUCAGAAGAUGGACAAGCCAAAGGAAAUUGGGAUAUGGCCUCAUUGAGUGUGACAAAAUAUUCGUCCCUAUCCAUAGAGAGAUACAUUGGUGCUUGGCAGUUAUAAAUAGGAAAGACAAGAAGUUUCAGUAUCUUGAUUCGCUAAGAGGGAUGGAUACCCAAGUGCUGAAAGUACUGGCUAGAUAUUUUGUGGAUGAAGUGAAGGAUAAGAGUGGAAAAGAUGUCAAUAUAAGUUCCUGGAAACAAGAAUUUGUUGAAGACCUUCCUGAACAGGAGAAUGGGUUUGAUUGUGGCAUGUUUAUGAUCAAAUAUGCUGACUUUUAUAGCAGAGACAUUGGCCUCUGUUUCAGCCAGGAACACAUGCCCUAUUUUCGGCAGAGGACUGCAAAGGAGAUUCUCACAUUAAGAGCUGACUAAUUGAAAACGUCAGCCUGCUGCUUUAGAAAUAUGCUAUUGCACCCAUUUGGAAUUAGGAAUUUAGAAAACACUACUCAUCAUUUUUUUUUUACAAGUAGAAAACACUUCACAUCAUUGAGUGAUGAGUAUGAAGUCAGGACCUGGGUGAUUGCCAUGCGGUAUCCUGGUGUGAGCUGACUUCCUAACGACAUCACUGGUGGCAUGAGUCUAAAGUGUUACCAUACAAUAGAGCCAAUCUUUUCAAGUGUUACUUUGCAAGUGCUAGGAUGUGUUGGUAGUGUUUCCCUUGGGAUAUAUUAUAAUGGGUUGCCGUCAGCGAGAACUCGUGUGGUCGGACUUGUCAAGCAGUCUUUGUUCAAAUAACUCAUUCCCAUGCCAGUGGCAAUGGACCAGUUAGAGUUGCUUUCUGGGGUGUUCCUUUUAUGCAAUGGACCAUUUACCUCUGCAGAGAUAUGAUAUGGACUGUGGCACUAAAGUCUAAAACACUAAUUUUGUUAUGUAGCAAACAACUUAUGAAUGAGGCUAGAUCAAUCAUUGUUAGUUUUUGCAAGGUUUAA